CAGCAGCCGCGGUAAUACGAAGGGUGCAAGCGUUAAUCGGAAUUACUGGGCGUAAAGCGUGCGUAGGCGGUUUAUUAAGUCUGUUGUGAAAUCCCCGGGCUCAACCUGGGAAUGGCAAUGGAUACUGGCAAGCUAGAGUGUGUCAGAGGAUGGUGAAAUUCCCGGUGUAGCGGUGAAAUGCGUAGAGAUCGGGAGGAACAUCAGUGGCGAAGGCGGCCAUCUGGGACAACACUGACGCUGAGGCACGAAAGCGUGGGGAGCAAACAGGAUUAGAGACCCCCGUAGUCCCUGUCUCUUAUAC
RNAcentral lists this ribosomal RNA (301 nucleotides) under uncultured bacterium. RNAcentral's name for it is "partial 16S ribosomal RNA". It matches the Rfam family "Bacterial small subunit ribosomal RNA", at positions 509 to 807 of the family's 1533-position model. The record is from RNAcentral.